Molecule: ribosomal RNA, 497 nt
Filed under: uncultured bacterium
Lineage: Bacteria
Description: partial 16S ribosomal RNA
Rfam family: Bacterial small subunit ribosomal RNA
Source: RNAcentral
GAUGAACGCUGGCGGCGUGCCUAAUACAUGCAAGUAGAACGCUGAAGGAAGGAGCUUGCUCUUUCCGGAUGAGUUGCGAACGGGUGAGUAACGCGUAGGUAACCUGCCUGGUAGCGGGGGAUAACUAUUGGAAACGAUAGCUAAUACCGCAUAACAGUAGAUGUUGCAUGACAACUAUUUGAAAGGGGCAAUUGCUCCACUACCAGAUGGACCUGCGUUGUAUUAGCUAGUUGGUGAGGUAACGGCUCACCAAGGCGACGAUACAUAGCCGACCUGAGAGGGUGAUCGGCCACACUGGGACUGAGACACGGCCCAGACUCCUACGGGAGGCAGCAGUAGGGAAUCUUCGGCAAUGGACGGAAGUCUGACCGAGCAACGCCGCGUGAGUGAAGAAGGUUUUCGGAUCGUAGAGCUCUGUUGUAAGAGAAGAACGAGUGUGAGAGUGGAAAGUUCACACUGUGACGGUAUCUUACCAGAAAGGGACGGCUAACUACGUG